GAUGAACGCUGGCGGCGUGCCUAAUACAUGCAAGUCGAGCGAACGGACGAGAAGCUUGCUUCUCUGAUGUUAGCGGCGGACGGGUGAGUAACACGUGGAUAACCUACCUAUAAGACUGGGAUAACUUCGGGAAACCGUAGCUAAUACCGGAUAAUAUUUUGAACCGCAUGGUUCAAAAGUGAAAGACGGUCUUGCUGUCUUAUAGAUGGAUCCGCGCUGCAUUAGCUAGUUGGUAAGGUAACGGCUUACCAAGGCAACGAUGCAUAGCCGACCUGAGAGGGUGAUCGGCCACACUGGAACUGAGACACGGUCCAGACUCCUACGGGAGGCAGCAGUAGGGAAUCUUCCGCAAUGGGCGAAAGCCUGACGGAGCAACGCCGCGUGAGUGAUGAAGGUCUUCGGAUCGUAAAACUCUGUUAUUAGGGAAGAACAUAUGUGUAAGUAACUGUGCACAUCUUGACGGUACCUAAUCAGAAAGCCACGGCUAACUACGUG
RNAcentral lists this ribosomal RNA (495 nucleotides) under uncultured bacterium. Its description in RNAcentral is "partial 16S ribosomal RNA". It matches the Rfam family "Bacterial small subunit ribosomal RNA", at positions 28 to 507 of the family's 1533-position model. The record is from RNAcentral.